AGUGAACGCUGGCGGUAGGCCUAACACAUGCAAGUCGAACGGCAGCGCAGUAAGAGCUUGCUCUUACGGGUGGCGAGUGGCGGACGGGUGAGGAAUACAUCGGAAUCUACUUUUUCGUGGGGGAUAACGUAGGGAAACUUACGCUAAUACCGCAUACGACCUACGGGUGAAAGCAGGGGAUCUUCGGACCUUGCGCGAUUGAAUGAGCCGAUGUCGGAUUAGCUAGUUGGCGGGGUAAAGGCCCACCAAGGCGACGAUCCGUAGCUGGUCUGAGAGGAUGAUCAGCCACACUGGAACUGAGACACGGUCCAGACUCCUACGGGAGGCAGCAGUGGGGAAUAUUGGACAAUGGGCGCAAGCCUGAUCCAGCCGUACCGCGUGGGUGAAGAAGGCCUUCGGGUUGUAAAGCCCUUUUGUUGGGAAAGAAAAGCAGCAGGUUAAUACCCCGCUGUUCUGACGGUACCCAAAGAAUAAGCACCGGCUAACUUCGUG
RNAcentral lists this ribosomal RNA (492 nucleotides) under uncultured bacterium. Its description in RNAcentral is "partial 16S ribosomal RNA". It matches the Rfam family "Bacterial small subunit ribosomal RNA", at positions 29 to 507 of the family's 1533-position model. The record is from RNAcentral.